This 226-nucleotide ribosomal RNA is filed under the name uncultured bacterium. RNAcentral describes it as "partial 16S ribosomal RNA". It matches the Rfam family "Bacterial small subunit ribosomal RNA", at positions 110 to 334 of the family's 1533-position model. The record is from RNAcentral.
GUAACGCGUGAGGAACCUGCCUCAAAGAGGGGGACAACAGUUGGAAACGACUGCUAAUACCGCAUAAGCCCACGGGUCGGCAUCGACCAGAGGGAAAAGGAGCAAUCCGCUUUGAGAUGGCCUCGCGUCCGAUUAGCUAGUUGGUGAGGUAAUGGCCCACCAAGGCAACGAUCGGUAGCCGGACUGAGAGGUUGAACGGCCACAUUGGGACUGAGACACGGCCCAG